RNAcentral lists this unclassified non-coding RNA (2203 nucleotides) under Hevea brasiliensis (rubber tree). The record is from RNAcentral. Lineage: Eukaryota; Viridiplantae; Streptophyta; Magnoliopsida; Malpighiales; Euphorbiaceae.
UUGAGGUUACUAAUCUUUCAGUCAGCUGGAAAAUAAUGAACUUAAAAAAAAAAUAAUAUUUAUUAUCAUCCAGGACCAUUUGCAGAAGAAAGGCAUAAAGCAUUUAAUAAAGUCAAAAGCCAGAAUUCAUGGAACAAUCAUAUUCUUAGGCACCAAGCAUAAAUAAGUGCCUCAGGGAUGGAAAAUUACAUCAUGAUAGAUUUUCUCAUUGUUUACACCAUUUAUCCUAACUAAGAAAAUUUAAUGCAAGUAUUCUCAAUAAGAUACAGGACAUCCCUACAAGUUAAUUACACAAAGAAACUGGGAUUAUUCACAUAUACAUAUAUAAUACAGCUACGCCCAACUACACGAACUCAAAAUUACAAUGAGGAUUCGCUUCUCAUGAUAUUGUCAAACGUCUCAACAGGAUCAAGUAUCACUCCAAGUAUCAUCAUCUUCCCCAUCAUCACUUCCAACAGCCUGUCGGAUUGCAUUUGCUUUCUCCAAUAUUGCAGAGACUUUGUCAUUUGUAGCAGGGACUGAUGUGAAGGUAGGCUUUGCUGUCACAGUGCGUCUCAGGGUGAAUGAUUUCGCUCUGAUUUGAUGCAAAAAAUCCUCCUUUUCAUCCAGCCCUUUGCCAUUUGGAGGCAGAUUAACUUCUUUCUGUGCAUUCAACUGACAAUGGUCCUUGCUCUUUGGUUUAAAUGUAAUGGCCUCCUCAUCUGUUUGUUGCUCAUUAUCAGGGGCUGGUUUAUGUUGCUGAGAUAUUGUAGACCCUGAAAGUUUUAGAUCAGCUGCAUGCUGCUCACUCACAGCAUCAGAUAUUGUAUUUUGUUUUUCUUCUGCCAUACAAGAGGCAGGUUUUGUGACCCACCAUUGCACUGGGGGAGGAGGUGGUGGAGCUGGGUUGCAAUUCCUAGGAUUUUGCAAUUCUACGAGAUUCCUUGGAUCCAACUUAUCUUUUGCCUUUUCCUGUGGUACAGGGUUCACAGCAUCAAAACUGGGGAGAUCGAGCAAGGAGAGGAGAGAUGGAUCUGAACCAUUCUCAGCAUAGUCACUUUUAAAUCGCGAGACAAUGUGAACGCCGUUGUUGCCCAUUUCCCCAGCUUGCAGAGAACUUGAUACAGAUUCAACAGAUGAUAUUCUGCAUAAAGCAUCAUACAGCUCACGGUCCUGGUUUUCAGGAGAUUCACCAGAUUCCCAUUGCUCAGAAUAGGAAUCGGAGUGAUGGCUAAGACAAUCAUCUGACAUAUAAGGAGAUGAUCUACAGAAGGUAUCAUCAUCAGAUUCAGAACCUGCAUGUUGCAAUGGAAUAGAAGGCUCUGGCACCAACUGAAAUGAUGGGAACAUAUCUCUAAAACUUCCACUGCUGUGGUUCCCAUCAGGAAAUUUCAGCUUCAAUUUGGAAGCCUCAAAGCCAUCUACAGGGUGGAAAGACAUUUUCAUAUGUUCUAGUGGUGGUGAAGAAGUUAGUGAAUCUACAAUAGAUUUAUGUCCAAACUUAGCAUUCAAUGCUUUCCCUGGUGUUGCAUUAUAAGCAAAGCUAUGGUUCCCGUUACCCUGCUCCAAUGCACUAGUUUUCAGUGAGCUAGCCACCUCUGGUUUAUUAUCAGGGACAAGCGACAUCUUUUUACGUAAACCAUUAAUAAGUAACCUAUUGCCAAGUCCAAACAUUUGAGCUGAGUUUUCAACAUUCUCCUGACUGGUUUCAAAUGAUGUGGCUUUAACAUCUGCAUCAAGGCACAACUCUUUUCCUGAUUUCACUACACUUGCACUAUUCAAUCCUCCCACAGAAGCACUAACAAAUCUAUUACUAUGAUAAAAAUCACCAGAUUUUUCAAUUUCAGCAUCUUGAUCCUCACACUGUGAAUUGGAGCGUUCAGAACUCAGAAUCCUUUCCAUGCUUCCAGUGUCCUUAAUCAAUCUGCCAGGCUUCAUUCUCUCUCCAUUGUUGCUUGGCAUAGAAGCAUGAUUUGGGAGACUUUCUACCUCACCUUUACAUCUUGUCAAAGAAUCCUGAGUCGAUGUGUUUGAUACAGCAAAAUCAGGAGGCUUUGAUGGCUCAAGUCCUAACAGACCACCAUUUGUCCAGAAUGAGACCGAAGGAACACUAGAUAAUUCAGACUGAGAUUCCUGAGACUUGGAAGAUUCUUGAGACUUGGGAGAUUCUUGAGACUUGGCCAAUUCUUGAAUCUUGGGAGAUUCUUGAGACCUGGUCAAUUCU